GGGCCAAGAAGAAGUAUUAGGACCAAAGUUCGUCACAUAAGUUGAUUUGACAUUCCAGCUCAACUAGUAAUUGGUUUAAACGGAUCAAGUUUAGAAAGAGCAUUAUACAGAUUGUUGAAAGAAAAAUGUCUAGUCCCCUCAUAUCCUUUCUCAAGGGGUGAUUGGUUAAGAUUCUAGUUGCAUUGGGCGCUAUCAAAUCUCGCCAUUUGUGGUUAGAUAUGGAGCAUCUUCAAGCUUCAGGAAGCAAUUCAGAAUGUUUUAAUUUGUGUAGAAAUAAUUUUCUUUUCUAAACAUCAACUGCAAAAAGGUUGCUACCUAUUGCAACUAUAAUAAAAUAGGAGACAUCUGUUCAAUAACUUAUCUUUCUAAUUUGAUCUUUUCUAAUAAGAAAAUAAAGAAAUAGUCUCUUGAAAAGGGAUUACUUAGGUAAGCAUUAAAUCAGACUCUCUUAGUUCAAUUAAAAGGGUAAGGAUGAAAUUUGGAUGUUUAUGGGAUGUUGCAGAUUUUUUUUUCUUAAGUAUGCAGAUGGCACAAAUGCACAACAAGAUAGCUUCAGAAAAAGAACAAACACGUUGAACAACUUGCUAACAAAGGAGAGCAGAUAUAUCAUCUUCAAUGUGCUAUUUUCUUAUCUUCAAAAGUCUUAGCAUCGACAACAAAUGUUGAAUUCAUAGCCUAACUUUCGUUUUAAACCAAAAAAGUGAGGUUAUAGCUUAUUACAGUUAA
Long non-coding RNA from Capsicum annuum, 726 nucleotides. RefSeq lists it as uncharacterized. NCBI's taxonomy places the organism in Eukaryota, Viridiplantae, Streptophyta, Magnoliopsida, Solanales, Solanaceae. The record is from RefSeq and is a predicted model, not a curated record. The transcript has 2 exons.